Molecule: long non-coding RNA, 312 nt
Organism: Rosa chinensis
Lineage: Eukaryota; Viridiplantae; Streptophyta; Magnoliopsida; Rosales; Rosaceae
Exons: 3
Source: RefSeq, a predicted model, not a curated record
UUCUCCUGAUUGAAAUCUCGAAAGAAAAGCUAUAUGUCCAACUUAGCCUCCGCCUAGAGAGAGGAAGCUUCCACCUUUCAAAUCAAACUUGGAGAAAUCAAGGUGCCCUAUUGCUUCAUUUCAUUUGGAUCGUCAAGUAUCGAAUAAGUUAUUGUUUCCUUGGAAUUUAAGCCACAGCCUUAUUAAAGGAAGCAUAAUUCACGAGACAUAUAAAGCUGGCUUUUGGGAAUUGAUUAAAUCUGGGUAAUUGUUGAUAUCCACUUUUACUCAUGAUAUGAAUACUACAACACGACAUAUCUGCUUAUAAUUUUC